CACAUUUCAUUGUGAAAACCUUCUAAUUUAUACCUUCAAUUAUUUAAAAGCCUUUAAAAGACCUAGGUAACAAACCUGUAUGUUCUGCACAUGUAUCCCAAAACUUAAAGUAAAAUUUAAAAAAUUAAAAUUAAAUUUUAAAAAACACUUCAAGGUUAAAUGUAUAUGAGCUCCUGUUACUGUUAACAUAUAUUGGAUUUAAUAUUCUUUUAUACAGAAUUAUGAUGCUUUCUGUUUUGCGUAACACCAAAACACCAGUGAAAUUCUGGUUGCUAAAAAAUUAUCUCUCACCGACAUUUAAAGAAGUAAUUCCUCACAUGGCUAAAGAGUAUGGAUUCCGAUAUGAACUAGUUCAAUAUAGGUGGCCCCGUUGGCUUCGUCAACAGACUGAAAGACAGAGGAUUAUUUGGGGUUACAAAAUUCUUUUCCUUGAUGUUCUUUUCCCACUAGCAGUGGACAAAAUCAUUUUUGUUGAUGCUGACCAGAUUGUGAGACAUGAUCUAAAAGAA
Molecule: small RNA, 509 nt
Filed under: Pongo abelii (Sumatran orangutan)
Lineage: Eukaryota; Metazoa; Chordata; Mammalia; Primates; Hominidae
Description: processed transcript
Source: RNAcentral